UAAUCAGUAGUGAGAGUCUUUCCUACCUCAAUCAGUGAUGGCUGACAUAAUAACUUUUCGAAGGAAAUCUGGAAUGUUUGCUGCAUGAAGGGAGACAUCUAUAAAUUCUCAUAUCGCCCUAUCAUAGGCCUUCUCUAAAUCUAUCUUGAUGGCCAUCCAUCUUUUGUGUUUGCUUCUCAUGGAAUGAAUAACUUCUUGGGUGACUAUGAUAUUGUCAAUAAUGUUCCUUUCAGCAAUAAAACUCGCCUGUUCAGGGCAAUUGAUUCUAGGAAAAACAACCUUAAAUCAGUUCGGAAUGAUCUUUAUGACUUGCUUGUAAAGAACUGAACACAAGUUUAUUGGGCGAAAUUAUGCAAAGUUCGUGCAAUUAAAGGGUAGAAGGGAUAUAUCAAAGGGUACUUUAUUGUUAUGGAAUUAAAAGGUAGAAUGAGAAAAAUUCGUGGAAGGGAGCUGAAGAUUGAGGAAUCAAAGCUAAAAGGUAAACAAAUUGAAGCUAGAAGUUGAGAUGACGUUGAAGCUUGAAGCUGAAAUAAUGUAGCUGUUCAACCCACUUAGCCAUUUCUGAGAUGAUGACUUGCAUGACUCAGCAAGCAAGAAAAGGGCUAAAUUCUGUUAUGCAAUUUUCUUAUAAAAUGUACCAGCAAUAUAGUACUAGAAUGUAUUGAAGGAUUAUGAAUAAAAUAUCAAGAAAAAUAUCUCUUUUCUCUAAAUUAUUCUCUGCUUCUCUUUUUCUGUCAUUCUUUCUUUUUUCCCUCGUCAUUUCAUCCAACACCUUACUUGCACAACAAACAAUUUCUCUCUAUCAUUUCUUUGGGAAAAUUUAACAUUUCUCGAGAAAGAAAUGAACAAUUGCAAAUGGCACCACCCUAGGAAACUAAACAGGUAUUGAAACCCAAAGGAGAUGGUAAUGGCGACUUCUUAUGCCAUGAUUGCAAUCAAUAUUUUAGUACUUUGGAUGAGAUAAGACACGGUGUGGUUGUGGUGCAUGGUUUGAUAUGUGUAUGAUGAAAAAGAACUGAGUUGCUGAGUUGAAAAAGAAAGAGGAGGCUCAGAAGGAGCAGAGGAAACAUGACAAAAAGAAUAGAAACUUGGCUAAAGAAAUGCAAAGAAGAAGAAGAAGAAGAAAGAAAGAAAGAAAGAAACAGAAACAGAGAUAGAAACAAAGUGAGAACAAGAACAAAAACAAGGAGGAGAAGCAAAAGAAGAAAUCUGCCUCUAAAAAAUGUAUUAAAAGUUUUAAUAAUUUCUCUUAAAAGGUUUUUGUGAUUUUCUGUAAAUAUUAGUAUUGUACUGGUUUUCAUUCUUAUUUCAGGCAGCCAGAAAUAAGAAGAUCCAGGCAAAUAAGAAGCUUAAGAAUCUCCACAAUGCUUGAGAAUGUCAAUGAGAGAGAGGUGGGAUGGUGAUUGUGAUUGUGAUUGUUAUUUUUAUUUUAUUUUAUUUUUUAUGAAUGUGUUUCUAUCAACAUGAUAGUGAAGAGUAAAAUGACUUACCAACUGACGCAUGUUUUCCUGUUGACUCAACCCAUUUUACUAAAACAAACACCAGGAAAUUAUGAAUACAUUUUCCAAAUGUAUCAAAGACACCCUAACUGUUAUGUUUCAUCUUUGCUUCUUCAAUAUCAUUCUUUCCACAAUACAUUAUUUGAUUCUUGUUAUUAACUCUAAUGCAUGGAAACUAAGACCUAAUAUGGGGUUUGUGAUCUUUUUAUUUGAUUGUAAUUUGAGAUUUUUUAAGCUUAUAUUAUUUUUCAUUGGAUAAAUUAACUAUAUAUUAUUUUCAAUUUCAUUGGUUUGAUAAUAUUAAUUAUGCAUCACUUUCAAAUCUUACUUUAAAAUAAUGACUUUGAGAGCUUUUUUGAUGGCACUAAAAUUAUUAACAUAGCUACCAAAUUUGAGACCAUUGACUUGAUUUAAUGGAUGAAAAAAUGCUCUGUAUUCCAAGCAAAUCACAAACAGGUAAUGUGACAAAGGACACCCAUGCUUGAUGCCCUUAACUAGACUGAAGGCACUCCAUUCCAUAGAAUCUCUAUAGUUGAACUCGUGAUGGCCAACAUAAUAACUUUUCGAAGGAAAUCUGGAAUGCUUGCCGCCUGAAGGGAGGCAUCUAUAAAUUCCAUCUCACCCUAUCAUAGGCCUUCUCCAAAUCGAUCUUAAUAACCAUCCAUAUUUUGUGUUUGCUUCUCAUGGAAUAAAUAACUUCUUGGACGACUAUGAUAUUGUUAGUGAUGUUCCUUCCAGCAAAAAAACCCACCUGUUCUAGGUCAAUGAUUCUAGGAAAAACAACCUUAUAUUUGUUCGGAAUGGUAUUUAUGACUUGCAUGUAAAGAACUGAACACAAGUUUAUUGGGCGAAAUUGUGCAAACUUUGUGCAAUUAAAGGGUAGAAGGGAUAUAUUAGAGGGUACUUUAUUGUCAUGGAAUUAACAGGCAUAAUAGCUUAUCCAAAUCUAUCUUGAUGGCCAUCCAUCUUUUGUGUUUGCUUCUCAUGGAUGAAUAACUUCUUGGGCGAUUAUGAUAUUGUUAGUGAUAUUACUUCCAGAAAUAAAACCCGCAUUUUCUGGGCCAAUGAUUCUAGGAAAAACAACCUUAUAUCUAUUCAGAAUGAUCUUUAGGACCUGCUUGUAAAGAACUGAACACAAGUUUAUUGGGUGAAAUUGUGCAAAGUUCUUGCAAUUAAAGGGUAGAAGGGAUAUAUCAAAGGGUAUUUUAUUGUCAUGGAAUUAAAAGGUAGAAUGAGAAAAUUUCGUGGAAGGGAGCUGAAGAUUGAGGAAUCAAAUCUAAAAGGUAAACAAAUUAAAGUUGGAAGCUGAAAUGAUGUUGAAGCUUGAAACUGAAAUAAUGUAGCUGUUCAAGCCAUUUAGUAGUUUAUGAGUUGAUGACUUGCAUGAUUCAACAAGUAAGAGAAGGGCUAAAUUCGAUUAUGCAAUUUUGCUAUGAAAUGUACCACAAAUAUAGUAUUUCAAUGUAUUGAAGGAUUAUGAAUGAACUAUCAGGAAAAAUACCUCUUUUCUCUAAAUUAUUCUCUGCUUCUCUUUUUCUGUCAUUCUUCCUCUUUUCCCUGUCAUUUUAUCCAACACCUUACCUGCACACCAAACAAUUUUUCUUUAUCAUUUUUUUUUUUUACAAUUUCUCUCUAUCAUUUUUUUGUACCCUAUCAUUUCUUUGCGGGAAAAUUAACAUUUCUCGAGAAAGAAAAGAACAGUUGCAAAUGGCGCCACUCAAGUAAACUAAAAAGGUGCCGCAACCCAAGGGAGAUGGUAAUGGCGACUUCUUAUGCCAUGAUUGCAAUCAACAUUUUAGUACUUUGGAUGAGAUGAGACACGGUGUGGCUAUAGUGCAUAGUUUGAUAUGUGUAUGAGGGAAAAGAAUCGAGUUGCUGAGUUGAAAAGGAAAGAGGAGGCUUAGAAGGAGCAGAGGAAACAUGAUGAAAAGAAUAGAAAAUUGGCUAAAGAAAUGAAAACAAGAAGAAGAAGAAAGAAACAGAAACAAAAUGAGAAGAAGAACAAAAAAUCUGCGUCUAAAAAAGGUAUUAAAAGUUUUAAUAAUUUCUCUUAAAAGGUUUUUGUGAUUUUCUGUAAAUAUUAGUAUUGUACUGCAACC
This 3598-nucleotide long non-coding RNA is filed under the name Gossypium raimondii (Peruvian cotton). Its description in RNAcentral is "long non-coding RNA (GRAI_LNC010943)". Lineage: Eukaryota; Viridiplantae; Streptophyta; Magnoliopsida; Malvales; Malvaceae. The record is from RNAcentral.